GCGCCAAAGAGUCAAUUAUAUCAAUAGAGAAACAUGAAUGGUCCUCACUAGGGUACUUAAUAGAAUCUGAAAGAUUGAAACUAACAACUUCCCCAUCAAAUUCCAUGGACAAAGUUCCAUUAAACACGUCGAUUUUAGUCCGAGCCGUUUUCAUGAAUAGCUUUCCAAGGAGGAUGGGCACUGAAGGGGUAUGGUCCGAUUCAUCCAUUUCGAGGACAUAGAAAUCCGCCGGAAAGAUUAAGUGAUUUACCUGCACAAGAACAUCUUCCAAAACUCCCUUUGGAUAGGCGUUAGAUCUAUCGGCCAAUUGUAUGAUUACA
This 320-nucleotide long non-coding RNA is filed under the name Malus domestica (apple). Its description in RNAcentral is "long non-coding RNA (MDOM_LNC019579)". The record is from RNAcentral. Lineage: Eukaryota; Viridiplantae; Streptophyta; Magnoliopsida; Rosales; Rosaceae.